Molecule: long non-coding RNA, 1803 nt
Organism: Polypterus senegalus (gray bichir)
Lineage: Eukaryota; Metazoa; Chordata; Cladistia; Polypteriformes; Polypteridae
Exons: 2
Source: RefSeq, a predicted model, not a curated record
CUGAGUUGUACAUUAUAUAGCCUAAAUACAGUUCCAAACAUGUCGAGUAAGAGAAGCACAUUUCCGUUGGGAAAACUGCGAAUUAUGCGGUGAUUAAAACAAGAACCACAAGUUAGCCUACUGGCUGACCGCUGGGCUAAAAUAAGCUCAGAAUGUGGUUCAAGAUUUGAUCAAAAACGACCACCGGCUGGAAACUUUGCGCAAGGAAAAAAAACAGUUUCUGCAUUUUUAAUCCCCUCUCGUCAGGCCCGUUUCAAAUUCUGUUUCUAUUAUUUAAUUUAAACGUGUCCGGUUUUUCGUAGUCACACUUUCCUUACGCCAAAUGUUUCUUUUAAAGUGACGGGGUCCAUUUGCGCGUCACACUUGCGUGGAGUUGGGCUGCUUGAGCUGAGCGGUGGAAGUUGCAGGUUCUUCGUGUGAGCGUGUGGCGUUUCUCAAAAAACGCGCUUGUUAGGACGAGACCCGCAAAUCGAUAGACUGAUGUGAAAGGCACUAUAUAAGUGAUAGAUGGUACCUUUCAUAGCUACAUUUCAAUCGAAGAGAAAGAUAGAUGGCUAUUUGCCCCCGGGGAGGUAAUCUGAUUUUUCACAGAAACUCUAUAAACAAACAAAUAAAUGAAUGAAUAUACACUCGACAUAUGUUCUAAACACACUGUAUGGUUAAUAAAAUAGAAGAAGAAAUGUAGAAGAGUCAGCGGACAAGAAAUGAAUGAGUGAAUGGACUUGAUUGUGUGACUUAUUCUUAACGAGCGGAGUUUCUGUUUCUUCGAUUUAUGCUCAUUUAUUUUUAAGUAGUAUUUUACAUCCCGACUCACCUGCACUUUAAUGAUCUCGAUGAUCUUUUUUCAUAGAAAUUUUUAAAACUAAUUUAAACAGGUGGAGAAUAUUGAAAGACUAUAAAGAAAAUGUAACUCGGGACGUGCUUUAUUCAAAAUACAUGAGUAUAGUAUAAUAAAUAUAUGUGCACCUCACCUAACGUAAACGCAUAUCAGGUAUAAUGUUACUCAUGUAAUCAAAUGUAAGAAAGGAACAGAAAAAACACGCAGUGCAUUUUACAUUUCAGUAUUAAAACACAUGUCGAAUGUUAGAGGCACAGUAAUUAUGUUUAUAAAAAAGUGCUGCUUUUAUUUAAACGAACUAAACUAAAAGUACAAUAGCCAUCCUUUUCUCAGGCGAGUUUCCCAAAAUAAAUCAUAAGAGGAAAGCAAAAAGCUUUGCAGGAUCCGGCAAGGCUUAACUUGCCAUUAGUUGGGCCCAUGGGUUUAAAUCUCUGCUAAUCAAUUUAAAGCUCCGACCACACCUUUAGCCAUUAGCGCUCAUUCUGGCAACAGCGAAGACGGUGGAUAACAGGCAUUAAAACAAGACCGACCAGCAAGCGAAGACAGGAAAAGAAAAAAACAAAACAAAACAAAAAAAAAAAAAAGGAAAGGAAAAGAAGAAAGAAAGAAAUGCAAUUUGGGUGCGUCUGAUCGCCCCCGAUCUGCCCCUUCAUCUUCGGUGCACACCCACCUCCCAUGGACCUGCAGGACAGGCGGCUGUGGUUGGCCGGCGGCCCGAUGGACGGCCUCUUUUGCGAGCGAGAGCCCUUCAUGCUUCGCUACCUGCGCGUGUUGAGAGAGCUGCUGACCUUCGUGCUGUUCAGCUACACCGUCCUGCUGGGGGCGCUGCUGCUGGCCGGCUGGACCACGUACUUCAUGGUGGUUAAAUAAGAGGGGCGGUCGGCCAUGCCGCCCUUCACACUGCUUUGCUUUAUUGUUUAGUUGAUCUGCCUGCUUAAAGGAAAUAAAAAUGUGCGGCAAAACGC